This 85-nucleotide transfer RNA is filed under the name Felis catus (domestic cat). It matches the Rfam family "tRNA". From Rfam's summary of the family: Transfer RNA (tRNA) molecules are approximately 80 nucleotides in length. Their secondary structure includes four short double-helical elements and three loops (D, anti-codon, and T loops). Further hydrogen bonds mediate the characteristic L-shaped molecular structure. tRNAs have two regions of fundamental functional importance: the anti-codon, which is responsible for specific mRNA codon recognition, and the 3' end, to which the tRNAs corresponding amino acid is attached (by aminoacyl-tRNA synthetases). tRNAs cope with the degeneracy of the genetic code in two manners: having more than one tRNA (with a specific anti-codon) for a particular amino acid; and 'wobble' base-pairing, i.e. permitting non-standard base-pairing at the 3rd anti-codon position. RNAcentral also lists the same sequence under 2 other names. Lineage: Eukaryota; Metazoa; Chordata; Mammalia; Carnivora; Felidae. The record is from Rfam by way of RNAcentral.
GUCUGGUUGGCUCAGUCAGUUGAGUGUCUGACUUCAGCUCAGGUCAUGAUCUCAUGGUUCAUGGGUUCGAGCCCCAUGUCAGGCU